RNAcentral lists this long non-coding RNA (581 nucleotides) under Homo sapiens (human). RNAcentral's name for it is "HSALNT0395305". Lineage: Eukaryota; Metazoa; Chordata; Mammalia; Primates; Hominidae. The record is from RNAcentral.
GGAAGGCCUAUCAAUCACAGGUGCGCUAAAAUCAAAAGGUGGGUCAGUAGGUUAGGGAGGGAGGCUGUCUAGAGGACUCCUACCCUUCUGCUCUGAGUGCGCAAGUCUUCCUGGACUCUCCGGCUGUGGGCUGUGGUUUGGAAACGAGGUUGUUCAUAGAGGCUGCUCUGGGGCCACCAUGCAGGGCAACGGUGACGUCCAGAGGCCACCUGCUUGACAUCUCCAUCACCAAAUCUCCAGGAAGACCCUGUUUCCUAUGUGAGGCCAUUGCCCAGCCCACGUUUGCCUCCUUUUCCUCCCUCUGCCACACGCGAAUUCAGCUAAUUGGGGUGUGUGGGCAGCCACGGCCUGGGGAGGUGGCCCCCUCUCUGUGCUGCCCCACGUUGGACUCUAACAGCUGCCCAGCCCGCAUGUCACAUACCAAAAGCUCCCACAUGUAGUAAGCCACUCCUUGACUGUCUAAUCCUGUUAGGAAAAAUGAAGUCUACUUUAGGAGGUGAGAGAAGGACAGGAAAAAAAAACAAAGGAAGCUUGGAUGUCAACAGUCCUCUCUGCCGCCCACGUCCUCUCUGUCUCUGCAG